This 580-nucleotide ribosomal RNA is filed under the name Colletotrichum lindemuthianum. Its description in RNAcentral is "eukaryotic LSU rRNA". The stretch from base 217 to 370 matches the Rfam family "5.8S ribosomal RNA". The record is from RNAcentral. Lineage: Eukaryota; Fungi; Ascomycota; Sordariomycetes; Glomerellales; Glomerellaceae.
UUGAUGCUGACGCGGAGGGACAUUACUGAGUUACCGCUCUAUAACCCUUUGUGAACAUACCUACAACUGUUGCUUCGGCGGGUAGGCCGUCCCCUGAAAAGGACGCCUCCCGGCCCGGACCGGACCCCCCGUGGGGCCGGACUCGGCGCCCGCCGGAGGAUAACCAAACGCUAUUUUAACGACGUUUCUUCUGAGUGGCAUAAGCAAAAUAAUCAAAACUUUUAACAACGGAUCUCUUGGUUCUGGCAUCGAUGAAGAACGCAGCGAAAUGCGAUAAGUAAUGUGAAUUGCAGAAUUCAGUGAAUCAUCGAAUCUUUGAACGCACAUUGCGCCCGCCAGCAUUCUGGCGGGCAUGCCUGUUCGAGCGUCAUUUCAACCCUCAAGCUCUGCUUGGUGUUGGGGCUCUACGGUCGACGUAGGCCCUCAAAGGUAGUGGCGGACCCUCCCGGAGCCUCCUUUGCGUAGUAACAUUUCGUCUCGCACUGGGAUCCGGAGGGACUCUUGCCGUAAAACCCCCCAAUUUUUCAAGGUUGACCUCGGAUCAGGUAGGAAUACCCGCUGAACUUAAGCAUAUCUAAAC